UUGUCUUAUGAACAUAAAGAAGGUUAGCAUUCCUUUUGACAAGGUCGGACAAGAUUCCAGUUGACCUGUACUGCACAUGGACAGUUAAGGCUUUACCACCUCUUUGCAGCACCUGACCACAAUCAGGU
Molecule: small nuclear RNA, 128 nt
Organism: Choloepus hoffmanni (Hoffmann's two-fingered sloth)
Lineage: Eukaryota; Metazoa; Chordata; Mammalia; Pilosa; Megalonychidae
Source: Ensembl